Long non-coding RNA from Manis pentadactyla (Chinese pangolin), 638 nucleotides. RefSeq lists it as uncharacterized. Lineage: Eukaryota; Metazoa; Chordata; Mammalia; Pholidota; Manidae. The transcript is spliced from 4 exons. The record is from RefSeq and is a predicted model, not a curated record.
CUUCUCUGCUCUGAGCCCACCCCCAGCGCUCCGGGGCACCCCGGCCAGGGCAGCGCGGCCCUUGGUUGAGGCUGGGGGCUCAGUAGUUGGGACUAUAGUGGACAUUUCUUCCACUGUGGUCUGGUCCCUCCCCGGCUGUCCCCCUUCCCUCUGCCAGUGUCAGAGGGUGGGGGUGAUGGUUUCCAAGUUACCAAAAACACUCACCCUUCUUCAUCAAACCCAAAAUGAAAUGACCCCUUCCCCUCUUAUUAACAACAUUGUCAGACAAUGUAGUCAUACCCGGGUUUGAAUCUUGGCUUCUCCACUGACUAGCUUGACUUUGAGCCCCUUGAGGGAAGGAGCUGGAUCUUUGUCAUCUCUGAAUACAUGGGCAGAGUAUGGAAAGCUUCCAGCCUGUGCAGGAAUGCUGUGCGAGGCACCGGAGGAAACUCCACUCUAGACCACCAGGACAUGUGUGUGGUACUCAGACUGACCCUCCCUCCUCCUGUGACCGUGACAGACUAAUGGAUCCCAGCAUUCUUCCAGUGCAAGCCUGCCAUCAUCUCACAGACCUCCAUACAGUCAUCCCUGAGGGAAUGGGGUUGUCACUUGAGUGGAAAGCCACUUACCAUGUUUGGCUUAGACUCAGAUCACUAGGU